Molecule: ribosomal RNA, 515 nt
Filed under: uncultured archaeon
Lineage: Archaea
Description: bacterial SSU rRNA
Rfam family: Archaeal small subunit ribosomal RNA
Source: RNAcentral
AACCUUUACACUGCACGACAGUGCGAUAAGGGAAUCCCAAGUGCGUAGGCAUAGAGCCUACGCUUUUGUCCACCGUAGGGAGGUGGACGAAUAAGGGCUGGGCAAGGCCGGUGCCAGCCGCCGCGGUAAUACCGGCAGCCCGAGUGAUGGCCGAUCUUAUUGGGCCUAAAGCGUCCGUAGCUGGCCGCACAAGUCCAUCGGAAAAUCCACCCGCCCAACGGGUGGGCGUCCGGUGGAAACUGUGUGGCUUGGGACCGGAAGGCGCGACGGGUACGUCCGGGGUAGGAGUGAAAUCCCGUAAUCCUGGACGGACCGCCGAUGGCGAAAGCACGUCGCGAGAACGGAUCCGACAGUGAGGGACGAAAGCUAGGGUCUCGAACCGGAUUAGAUACCCGGGUAGUCCUAGCCGUAAACAAUGCCUGCUAGGUGUGGCUCCCACUACGAGUGGGUGCUGUGCCGUAGGGAAGCCGCUAAGCAGGCCGCCUGGGAAGUACGUCCGCAAGGAUGAAACUUAA